Molecule: long non-coding RNA, 1812 nt
Filed under: Bemisia tabaci
Lineage: Eukaryota; Metazoa; Arthropoda; Insecta; Hemiptera; Aleyrodidae
Description: lncRNA ENSSSA2NGG008874
Source: RNAcentral
GAUCCUCUAGAAAGGAAGAAGUUCUGUAAUGAAGCGGCCUUCUACUUCGGAAAUUUGGAAAAAUGGUCAUCACAGGUUUUAAAAUGUCUAACCUCUCAAAAUGAAGUGCUCCGCAUCCACGAGAGAGCUGGGUUUUUAGUCUCAGAAGCAGGUGCUAUCUUCUAUACUCAGUCAGGGACCAAAACCUUGCUUCAUCGGCUUCUGGAAAUUUUUUUACUUCCCCACAAGUGCGUGACCCAGCUUACGUUCUUCACCCAUUUGUUGCAAAGGGACUGCAUCAUAAUUUGAAUCUGUUCAUUCAAGGAUUGGUAAGACUAGGUGCUCCUAACGACCCAUACCUUUUUAGUACUAUCAAAGACUCUCUGAGCUUAUUGAUGCCACGUUUAAUACGAAAUCAGGUGCAUUGAACGACACAUGUACCACGUUUUCACUCCUGAAAUGUUUCACCGAAUGCUUAAUAAUGUUGCUCCAAAAGAGGACUGUUGUAUCAUCAUAUUUCAAAUUGUUGUUGAAAGACUCAUAAAGAAACGAUGUCGUAAAAACGAGCCUAAUCACACACUUCAAGCUAUAGCAUUCAUUGCAGAUGUGGCCUCCAUCAACAGGAAUCGGGCUCAUACGGUACAGUGCAUUAUUGACUGUUGUCUUGAGUCUAUUGCGAGCGUUGCCAUGUUCUAUGACAAAGGAGACCCCUGCCAAAAAAACGCAGAGCGCUUGAUCAAUGGGAUUCUCACUAUCCAUAUCGUCUCAACUGAUCCCAAUAUAAGGUUGAGCGCCAUGAAUUUAUUCUCUAAGCUUUGCAGAGACCACUUAGCUUUCUACAGUCUCAAGCUGUUCGAUCUGUUUGCAAUGAUCGCUGGUAGAGUGCCCACAUUGCUCAAUCACUUCCUUCCGCAACUCAUUCAACAUGUUGAAACAGUUGAGAAAAAACGAGGUGUCACUUAUGAUAGCUCUCUCAGAGAUAAAGGAAUCAAACGUAUUGAGCAAAUUUUAUCAGUGGCUGAAACAAGUUUUGAUGGCAUGAAAACCGUCAUUAUGUUACCAUGGCAAAUUGCUGCAAAUACUACAAUUUUUACCUUGCUAUGUGGAUUGUCUCUGAUGAGGACUAGAUUGAGGAUGAGAGUGUCAUUUGCUGUGUUAUUGCACGCACACUUUAAAGGAAAGACGUCGUCAUGAUUCUGAGGACCUAUGCAUUGCCUCUGUAAACCCCAUGAAGUAUCAAUGCUUAUAUUUCUUAGCUCUUUAUUUCUUUUAAUAUUGCUGUAUCAACUUUUCAAACAGUAUCAACUUUUUCUGAAGAAUUUUUUUUCUUUAUUUUUCCAGAUGAUCAUUAAAGCUUGGGUAGUAUUUUACAUACAACUCUUCUGGUAUUUCCCACUGGAUACACUCACAACUUUCAUUGUGGUAAAGUCUCAUAUCAGCGUAAGGAGUAAUUACUUAACUCUAAUGUAAUUUUUGAAUGUUAUUAGAAAAGAUAACAUCAUUUUGUUGGAGCAAUCGAAUCAAGUUACCUAGCUAUUUAUGUUGGUUUUCAAGUACAAAUUAAGUGUAAUGAUAACUUAUGUUAAAGGUUCUGAUUUCCUAGGAAUUUUUUAGUCACCUGGAACCUUUAAUGAUUUGUCUUCAAUUUGUCUCAAAAUCUCUAGUAAUAUUUUGUGCUUGUGCUUAAAAUACAAAGCACACGCAAGAAUGUUAGGAAAUUGUUUGAAGCUUUUAGAAUACUCACAUUUAAUUUGCGUAGGGCCAUUUUUGUCAAUUUUCAAAACAAUGUUGCGAUUGAUUUCUGAUGGUGUCAGAGACAAAUCAAGUGAGAAG